AGCUUUGUGCAGUUGCAAUAAUGUAGCCAGUGAAGGUUAUGUGAGGCGUGAUUAUUGCUACUUGAAAACUUUUCUCCAAUCUGCUCUGCAUUCAUUUGUGGUUCUCUUAUUGGUAUUGUAUUUUUUUUACA
RNAcentral lists this small nuclear RNA (131 nucleotides) under Cavia porcellus (domestic guinea pig). RNAcentral's name for it is "U4 spliceosomal RNA". It matches the Rfam family "U4 spliceosomal RNA". From Rfam's summary of the family: U4 small nuclear RNA (U4 snRNA) is a component of the major U2-dependent spliceosome. The structure of U4 snRNA from yeast and human has been reported. U4 snRNA presents a k-turn RNA motif in the 5p-SL related to recognition of Snu13 protein. The record is from Rfam by way of RNAcentral. Lineage: Eukaryota; Metazoa; Chordata; Mammalia; Rodentia; Caviidae.